AAAGAUGGCUGUAUAUCUGGUUGCCGAAUAGUAAGCAACGGAAAGACAUAUGCGAGAAUAAGGAAAUAAAAUUAGCGGACGCAACCUUGACUGCGAAACAAUACACGCUCUUUUUUGUAUCGAAUCGGGAAACGAAGGCUUCCCGUCCCCGCGGCGGCUUCCGCCUUCGAAAAUUUGACCCGCUAUUUGGCUUGACCCCGCGUUUAGAAACGAGUUUUGGAAACAAAUGGAUUUUGUUGUUACUCUCCCAAAACCGGAAGGAAUAAGGUCAAGCAUUCCUUUCAACAGUGUUGCGUAAUUCCAUUGUAACCGAUGACCGUUAAUAAUAAUUAAAAAUCGCUAGUAUUGACGCUCGUAUCGCCCUAAAUAAGAAAUACGUCGGCAAAUCAGUUAAUGUCUUUGGGAACGAACGGUGUAUACCGGCCGCCGAUGCGUCGGCAAUAAUUAGUUAUUAAUUAUGAAGGUUUCGAGGAAAGAUGAUAUAACCGG
Molecule: long non-coding RNA, 489 nt
Organism: Cylas formicarius (sweet potato weevil)
Lineage: Eukaryota; Metazoa; Arthropoda; Insecta; Coleoptera; Brentidae
Exons: 3
Source: RefSeq, a predicted model, not a curated record